CCUACGGGUGGCAGCAGUGAGGAAUAUUGGUCAAUGGGCGCGAGCCUGAACCAGCCAAGUCGCGUGAGGGAGGACGGCCCUACGGGUUGUAAACCUCUUUUGCAGGGGAGCAACGGGCGCCACGUGUGGCGUUACUGAGAGUACCCGGAGAAAAAGCAUCGGCUAACUCCGUGCCAGCAGCCGCGGUAAUACGGAGGAUGCGAGCGUUAUCCGGAUUUAUUGGGUUUAAAGGGUGCGUAGGCGGAUCGUUAAGUCAGUGGUCAAAUUGAGGGGCUCAACCCCUUCCCGCCAUUGAAACUGGCGUUCUUGAGUGGAAGAGAGGUAUGCGGAAUGCGUGGUGUAGCGGUGAAAUGCAUAGAGAGCACGCAGAACCCCGAUUGCGAAGGCAGCAUACCGGGUUCCGACUGACGCUGAGGCACGAAAGCGUGGGGAGCGAACAGGAUUAGAUACCCUAGUAGUC
This 460-nucleotide ribosomal RNA is filed under the name uncultured bacterium. RNAcentral describes it as "partial 16S ribosomal RNA". It matches the Rfam family "Bacterial small subunit ribosomal RNA", at positions 338 to 795 of the family's 1533-position model. The record is from RNAcentral.